GAUGAACGCUGGCGGCGUGCCUAAUACAUGCAAGUCGAGCGAACAGACGAGGAGCUUGCUCCUCUGACGUUAGCGGCGGACGGGUGAGUAACACGUGGAUAACCUACCUAUAAGACUGGGAUAACUUCGGGAAACCGGAGCUAAUACCGGAUAAUAUAUUGAACCGCAUGGUUCAAUAGUGAAAGACGGUUUUGCUGUCACUUAUAGAUGGAUCCGCGCCGCAUUAGCUAGUUGGUAAGGUAACGGCUUACCAAGGCGACGAUGCGUAGCCGACCUGAGAGGGUGAUCGGCAACACUGGAACUGAGACACGGUCCAGACUCCUACGGGAGGCAGCAGUAGGGAAUCUUCCGCAAUGGGCGAAAGCCUGACGGAGCAACGCCGCGUGAGUGAUGAAGGUCUUCGGAUCGUAAAACUCUGUUAUUAGGGAAGAACAAAUGUGUAAGUAACUAUGCACGUCUUGACGGUACCUAAUCAGAAAGCCACGGCUAACUACGU
This 496-nucleotide ribosomal RNA is filed under the name uncultured bacterium. RNAcentral's name for it is "partial 16S ribosomal RNA". It matches the Rfam family "Bacterial small subunit ribosomal RNA", at positions 28 to 506 of the family's 1533-position model. The record is from RNAcentral.